RNAcentral lists this long non-coding RNA (950 nucleotides) under Homo sapiens (human). RNAcentral's name for it is "HSALNT0302712". The record is from RNAcentral. Lineage: Eukaryota; Metazoa; Chordata; Mammalia; Primates; Hominidae.
CUUACAGGGGUCACAGACAUUCAGAUCAUGGCAGAACUGUCACAGAUGUUACUUUGUGAAAACACAAAGAAUAAUGUGUUUGGAGAGAUCAGUCUUCAAUUAGCUAUAUUUUCUAGGAGCCUACCUUUACUUAGCCUCACAACAUGGGCCUUAGCUUUAGCACUUAAUCUGCACAAAUACCUGGCUUAAGUGUUAUGACUGACUGGCUAUUCAACCAAACCAUACAAAUGACCAAUUCGGUAAGAAAGCAUGAACUUCAGUGUUGAACCAAAUCAACCAACCUCCUCAAUCCAAAUGAACAAUGCUAUUCUAGGAGUCUGUGCUAGAAUAAAAUCCUAAUGCAAAGGCUGUCUUAAAAUGCUGAACCCAGAAGAAUUUGGCAUAAAUAAGACAUGGAGUUAGCUGACAUGAGAUAUUACAUUUAUUCCACUGUUGACGAGGACAAAACUGGGCCGCUAUUGUCACAGACAGGGUUUCAUCAUGUUGGUCAGGCUGGUCUGGAACACCUGACCUUGAGAUCCACCUGCCUUGGCUUCCCAAAGGGCUGGGAUUACAAGCGUGAGCCACCAGGCCUGGCAAGCUUGCAGAGCUCAAACCAUUACACCAUUCAGAAGCUGGCUUUGGUAUUACUUCAAGUUAUUCAAAACAGUCACCACUUGCUGAGCCUCUGAUGUCUCAUCUGUUGAAUGGGUACAUUUUCUUCCUGAUCCUUCCACCUCUAAACUUGUCUAUUUCCAAGGAUCUAUGGCAUCCAGGCAUAUGAUUUCAAGAGAGAAGGCUGAAAAGGAAGGUGACUGGAAUAUUAAGAACUGUGAGAUAUUCUGAGGAAACUCUAAUUUGUAAAUUGGUAGAAAUGCCAGUAAUUUGUUGGGAAUUGAAGACCCUCUGUAUUCAAGAGCGAAGCUUGGCAGCUGUGCACUGUUGUUUUAUAAAUCAAUAUUACAUCUGAA